Molecule: unclassified non-coding RNA, 266 nt
Filed under: Paraglomus sp.
Lineage: Eukaryota; Fungi; Glomeromycota; Glomeromycetes; Paraglomerales; Paraglomeraceae
Description: partial internal transcribed spacer 2
Source: RNAcentral
GUGAAUCAUCGAAUCUUUGAAAGAAAAGGGAGAAGGGGGGGGAAGGCAUGUCUGUUUGAGGGCAACAUUUAACAAAUAAUGGGCAGCGUUAUUUGUUGCACACGUUGAUGAGCUUUCCAAGAAUUUUAAAUUUUUGGUGGCGCAUAAUGAACAGCGUGAAAGUUUUUUUCAGUUCGAGUGUAGUAAAAUCUUUGCUUGGGUUGUGAAAAAACAUAAUCGCGAAAUGGGGGUGGGAAUUUCGGGUUAUCCAUGCCCCACUGCCAAGA